AGUGAACGCUGGCGGCAGGCCUAACACAUGCAAGUCGAACGGCAGCACAAGAGAGCUUGCUCUCUGGGUGGCGAGUGGCGGACGGGUGAGGAAUGCAUCGGAAUCUGCCCAUUUGUGGGGGAUAACCUCGGGAAACCGGGACUAAUACCGCAUACGACCUACGGGUGAAAGCAGGGGAUCUUCGGACCUUGCGCAGAUGGAUGAGCCGAUGCCGGAUUAGCUAGUUGGAGGGGUAAAGGCCCACCAAGGCGACGAUCCGUAGCUGGUCUGAGAGGAUGAUCAGCCACACUGGGACUGAGACACGGCCCAGACUCCUACGGGAGGCAGCAGUGGGGAAUAUUGGACAAUGGGCGCAAGCCUGAUCCAGCCAUGCCGCGUGUGUGAAGAAGGCCUUCGGGUUGUAAAGCAUUUUUGUUGGGAAAGAAAAGCAGCCGGUUAAUACCCGGUUGUCAUGACGGUACCCAAAGAAUAAGCACCGGCUAACUUCGUG
This 490-nucleotide ribosomal RNA is filed under the name uncultured bacterium. RNAcentral describes it as "partial 16S ribosomal RNA". It matches the Rfam family "Bacterial small subunit ribosomal RNA", at positions 29 to 507 of the family's 1533-position model. The record is from RNAcentral.